Molecule: non-coding RNA, 195 nt
Filed under: Pediculus humanus corporis (human body louse)
Lineage: Eukaryota; Metazoa; Arthropoda; Insecta; Psocodea; Pediculidae
Source: RNAcentral
GCCGGGAGUCGUAAGCUACUACUCCUGUAAUCCAACUACUUAGAGGCUAGGUAAAGAGGAUGUUAAGGGGGGGGGGGGGAAGUUCUGGGUUUGGAUUUUCCACGUUGACCCAAAGUCACCGAGUUGAGAGUCGUGAAAUCCAGAAGGUGGGAGUUCAAUUUCGGCUCGUUCAAACAAGAACAGACCUGUGCCUAC